UGGGGGAUAUUGCACAAUGGGCGAAAGCCUGAUGCAGCGACGCCGCGUGGGGGAUGAAGGCUUUCGGGUUGUAAACCUCUUUCGCUAUCGAACAAGGCCCGCUUAGGGUGGGUUGAGGGUAGGUGGAGAAGAAGCGCCGGCUAACUACGUGCCAGCAGCCGCGGUAAUACGUAGGGCGCGAGCGUUGUCCGGAAUUAUUGGGCGUAAAGGGCUUGUAGGCGGCUUGUUGCGCCUGCUGUGAAAACGCGGGGCUUAACUUCGCGCGUGCAGUGGGUACGGGCAGGCUUGAGUGUGGUAGGGGUGACUGGAAUUCCAGGUGUAGCGGUGGAAUGCGCAAAUAUCUGGAGGAACACCGAUGGCGAAGGCAGGUCACUGGGCCAUUACUGACGCUGAGGAGCGAAAGCAUGGGUAGCGAACAGG
This 420-nucleotide ribosomal RNA is filed under the name bacterium. RNAcentral describes it as "partial 16S ribosomal RNA". It matches the Rfam family "Bacterial small subunit ribosomal RNA", at positions 355 to 776 of the family's 1533-position model. The record is from RNAcentral.